This 566-nucleotide ribosomal RNA is filed under the name uncultured bacterium. RNAcentral's name for it is "bacterial SSU rRNA". It matches the Rfam family "Bacterial small subunit ribosomal RNA", at positions 341 to 914 of the family's 1533-position model. The record is from RNAcentral.
ACGGGAGGCAGCAGUGGGGAAUCUUGCGCAAUGGGCGAAAGCCUGACGCAGCAACGCCGCGUGGGGGAUGACGGCCUUCGGGUUGUAAACCUCUUUCGACAGGGACGAAGCUUUCGGGUGACGGUACCUGUAGAAGAAGCACCGGCUAACUACGUGCCAGCAGCCGCGGUAAUACGUAGGGUGCGAGCGUUGUCCGGAUUUAUUGGGCGUAAAGAGCUCGUAGGCGGUUUGUCGCGUCGGCCGUGAAAACCUGCAGCUUAACUGUGGGCGUGCGGUCGAUACGGGCAGACUUGAGUUCGGCAGGGGAGACUGGAAUUCCUGGUGUAGCGGUGAAAUGCGCAGAUAUCAGGAGGAACACCGGUGGCGAAGGCGGGUCUCUGGGCCGAUACUGACGCUGAGGAGCGAAAGCAUGGGGAGCGAACAGGAUUAGAUACCCUGGUAGUCCAUGCCGUAAACGUUGGGCGCUAGGUGUGGGGAUGGGUUCCACCGUUUCCGUGCCGUAGCUAACGCAUUAAGCGCCCCGCCUGGGGAGUACGGCCGCAAGGCUAAAACUCAAAGGAAUUGAC